CGAUUAUGCCUCACGUCCCAACAAAUACAAGAACCGAUUACACAACGUAGUCGUUCAUUCGUGCCACCCAUAUCGAGCCAACUGCCAUCCAAAUUGAAAAGUGCAGCGAAACUACCAUCGUUUCGACUUGAAAGACCUCUACAAGUGUCAAAUAAUGAUUGAAGAAAAGAUGAGAGAAUAUAAGUAGUAUUAGCCAGAAGACCGUCGACCAAUCAGAAGCCUUUGGCAGGCUACGCUUUACACAUUCACGAAUACUAGUGUACGGCGGCUCUGCAUUAGCCACAUCGUCGCGUCUUGAAGUUGCACCAUAGACACUUUUGCCAGACAAAUCGACAUCUUGAGUAGACCCAGGCUGCAGACAAUAAUAAUCAUUACCUUGAGAGGUUCCACUCUGUCUAUACAACUUACGAUGAUGCACACAUUUUUGAGAGCUGACAACUUUGCAAUUUUUGGAAGGAGAAAAUGGUCUGUGCCGUCUCGGAGAGACCAACACUUGCUAUGUAACGGCAUUUUAAUUCCAACUUUCGUCACGAAAGUAUCGUUCCCUCUACGUUUGCUGUUAUUUUUGUGUUAUUUAUUGUAGGUUUGCAUUUCUUUAUAAUUUAUCUGUAUU
Photinus pyralis (common eastern firefly) is the source of this 613-nucleotide long non-coding RNA. RefSeq lists it as uncharacterized. The record is from RefSeq and is a predicted model, not a curated record. The transcript has 3 exons. Lineage: Eukaryota; Metazoa; Arthropoda; Insecta; Coleoptera; Lampyridae.